This 590-nucleotide ribosomal RNA is filed under the name uncultured bacterium. RNAcentral describes it as "partial 16S ribosomal RNA". It matches the Rfam family "Bacterial small subunit ribosomal RNA", at positions 355 to 1375 of the family's 1533-position model. The record is from RNAcentral.
UGGGGAAUUUUGGACAAUGGGCGAAAGCCUGAUCCAGCAAUGCCGCGUGUGUGAAGAAGGCCUUCGGGUUGUAAAGCACUUUUGUCCGGAAAGAAAUCCUUGGCUCUAAUACAGUCGGGGGAUGACGGUACCGGAAGAAUAAGCACCGGCUAACUACGUGCCAGCAGCCGCGGUAAUACGUAGGGUGCAAGCGUUAAUCGGAAUUACUGGGCGUAAAGCGUGCGCAGGCGGUUUGCUAAGACCGAUGUGAAAUCCCCGGGCUCAACCUGGGAACUGCAUUGGUGACUGGCAGGCUAGAGUAUGGCAGAGGGGGGUAGAAUUCCACGUGUAGCAGUGAAAAUGCGUAGAGAUGUGGAGGAAUACCGAUGGCGAAGGCAGCCCCCUGGGCCAAUACUGACGCUCAUGCACGAAAGCGUGGGGGAGCAAAACAGGAUUAGAUACCCUGGUAGUCCACGCCCUAAAACGAUGUCAACUAGUUGUUGGGGAUUCAUUUUCCUUAGUAACGUAGCUAACGCGUGAAGUUGACCGCCUGGGGAGUACGGUCGCAAGAUUAAAACUUAAAUGAAUUGACGGGGUCAUAGCUGUUUCCU